AUGGGCAACAAAGCCAACCACAAAGUUCGGACUAUAGCCUCAAUUCUAGCAAAUGGUUUUAGGGAAGCCAACAAAUGUGGCAGACUCAUCGUAGAUGAGGCCCUAAUGAACCAUUUUGGGGCUAUAGUGAUGGCAGCGCGACUGUCCGGGGCGAAUGACGUCACCCUCAUUGGAGACAUUAACCAGCUACCUUUCAUAGACCGCAACAACCUCUUCGAGAUGAAAUACACGAGGCCAAAUCUAGUAGUAAACAUCACCCAGGAGUUGCUAUGCACGCAUCGCAACCCUCUGGAUGUAGGAUAUGUCCUAAGUGAGGUUACUAACAAAAUUAAAACAAGUCAGCAUCAAUUUGAUUUGUUAGUAACAUAUAUGGAAGAGCAUGGAGAUCUCAGUAAGCGAACAUCCAAUGCUAGGGGUAGGAUGGUGGCUAUUCAAAAUUGGGAGGAACUGACAUCCAUGCUUAACAGUGUUGGUGGUGGCGACACUAAAACAACCGAAAAGUGGAAAAAGGCCUGGUAAAGGGUUAAAAAUAAUAUAAAAAAGAAAGCUGCUCGAUUACAUAGAGCAGCUCAAGGCACUGGUGGUGGGCCUGCAGUCUUUGGAAAACUGACAAACUUGGAGCAAAGGGUUUUAAAUUUAAUUGGUGUGCAAGUAGCAACAGGCUUGGCAAUUGCAGAGGCGGGGUUUCCACAGGAAAAUACGGAUUUAUCUAAAUUUACACAGCCUCAACAUGAGGUCCCCAGUGAAACUGAUAGACAUAAGUUGUUUGACCUCUUAGUAUCAGAAUUUAUUAAUAAUUUAUGUGAGAUAUUAUGCAAAUAAUUUAUUUUACAGUUGAAUUAUUGAAUGAGCCUGGACCGUCCACUCAAUUCACUUGUGUAUCUGGGCCUCCUAGCCAGAUUCAAACAAGGGAUUUGCAGACUAAUCAGGCUCCCUUAGGACUAAGACCAACAAAACCCAGACAUCCAAGUCAAGCCCAUGUGGAAUCUAGACCUCCAUGUCAGGCCCAUGGUGAAGCUAGACCUCCAAGUCAGGCCCAUGGGGAAUCUAGAUCUCCAAGUCAGGCCAAUAGGGAAUUACCCAUAUCUACCAGUCGUACCACAAUAGAUGUGCAACCAUCAAGGCCUGUAGUUUCCCCGCCUUUCAUUCUUAUCAAUGAGGAACCAAUAGAGAAUGCUGAGGAAUUGAAUAUGGAUACGCCUACAUUAUGUUCACAACAUAUGUUUGCUGCAUCACCACCUCAAGCUCAGCCUGCUCCAUAUGGACAGACAACACCUCGUCGUAGAUUAAGAUUUCCAAGAGGGGUUAGUAAUAGACAAUCGCCUCGUAGGCGCACAAGACCACAGCCCUUGCAUACAGAACAGGCUGCUCAACAUUUUCUAAAUUCUGAUGCAGAAUGGAGAGCAUUCAGAAUACAACAGCACAAAGAUUAUGUGGAUUUAAGGAAGGAGCAAAUUAGGAUUAGGGAAUUAGAAUUACAGACUCAGAGAGAAUGGAAAGCCGUAGGGUUAAGAACAUUAGAAUUAUUAGAUAAAUUAGUUAAUAAGUUUUGUGGAGAUUAAAUGAAUUUUUCAAUGUAAAUAGUAU
This is an RNA transcript of Manduca sexta (tobacco hornworm), 1587 nucleotides long. RefSeq lists it as uncharacterized. Lineage: Eukaryota; Metazoa; Arthropoda; Insecta; Lepidoptera; Sphingidae. The transcript has 6 exons. The record is from RefSeq and is a predicted model, not a curated record.